GGUUUUUUGUUUAUAAUUUAAGAUUUAACCUGCCCAAUGAUUAGUUUUAAAYGGCUGCGGUAUUUUGACCGUACAAAGGUAGCAUAAUCAUUAGUUUUUUAAUUGAAAGCUUGUAUGAAAGGUUGGAUGAGAAAAAUUCUGUCUCUAGAAAAAUUUAAUAGAAUUUUAUUUUUAAGUAAAAAAGCUUAAAUAUUUAUAAAAGACGAGAAGACCCUAUAGAGUUUUAUAAUAUUUUAAUUAAUUUUUAUUGAAUAGAAUUAAAAAUAAUUUAUUGAAAUUUUAUUUUAUUGGGGUGAUAGAAAAAUUUAUUUAACUUUUUUUUUAUAAAAUAACAUUGAUUUAUGAAUAGAAGAUCCUUAUAUAAAGAUUAAAAGUUUAAAUUACCUUAGGGAUAACGGCGUAAUUUUUUUUUAGAGUUCAAAUUAAGAGAAAAGAUUGCGACCUCGAUGUUGGAUUAAAAUUAAUUUUUGGUGCRRAAGCUAAAAAUGAGGGUCUGUUCGACCUUUAAAAUUUUMCAUGAYCUGAKUUUAAMCCGGGGUGASCCMGGUC
Molecule: ribosomal RNA, 549 nt
Filed under: Deretiosus aridus
Lineage: Eukaryota; Metazoa; Arthropoda; Insecta; Coleoptera; Curculionidae
Description: partial 16S ribosomal RNA
Rfam family: Bacterial large subunit ribosomal RNA (bases 391-549)
Source: RNAcentral